AGAGAAUCGCUUGAACCUGGGAGGUGGACGUUGCAGUGAGCCGAGAUCAUGCCGCUGCACUCCAGCCUGGGUGACAGAA
Molecule: small nuclear RNA, 79 nt
Filed under: Homo sapiens (human)
Lineage: Eukaryota; Metazoa; Chordata; Mammalia; Primates; Hominidae
Description: partial ncRNA
Source: RNAcentral